This is a long non-coding RNA of Peromyscus eremicus (cactus mouse), 729 nucleotides long. RefSeq lists it as uncharacterized. NCBI's taxonomy places the organism in Eukaryota, Metazoa, Chordata, Mammalia, Rodentia, Cricetidae. The transcript has 2 exons. The record is from RefSeq and is a predicted model, not a curated record.
UAUCUACAAAGACAGGGCAGCCUGGACUGAACCCUUGGCUUGGUUUAGGGCAAUCACAGGGACAGUGUCCUCUCCAUCUACUGAGCCAAGAGCAGCACAGGACACCACCAAGAAUCGUCCCCCUCACAGCUGUGACAACAGAGGCUGUAAGGACCCUCUGGAAAACCGGGCAAGCCACAUAAGGACAUACGUCCUGGACCAUCAGAAUCCUGGGGACAAGCCUUCAGAAGCUGAGGACAGGGAACACCUGGGGUCCUCUCCUGAGGGUCCUGCCUACCUUCUAGCCUCAGGACUGACUGUGGAUGUGACAGUGUCCUCAUCAUCUCAGAGCCUUGCUGGGCCCUGAAGCCACGCCCGGAUGUGGGGAGACCACGAGUGCCAGGAAAGGCCAGCACCAUGCCUGAGGCCACUGCCAACCUCUAGUCAAGGGGGCUGGCAGAGCUGAAUCUGACUUCAAGCGGGGGACACUGCCAGAGCCCUGCUGCUGUAAGGCUGGGGAGCAGUGAGGACGACGGAGACCCUCUUCCCUCCAUGGGUUAAGGACCACCAAGGCUCUCCCCAAGCCUCUUCGUCCUGUAUCCCAAGGGUACUGGCUUGGAAGCCUUUCCAACAACAGGCAGUGGUCACACCACGUCACUAAGCCAGGAGGCCACUAGGACCUUCCUCUCACUUGGCCCUUCUGAAUCAACAGCCCAAGCCAAUCUCCAGUGGUAAAAGUGCUAGCUUCAA